CGGGGCAUAGCUCAGCCUGGUAGAGCACUUGCUUUGGGAGCAAGAAGUCGGGAGUUCGAAUCCCCCUGCCCCGACCA
RNAcentral lists this transfer RNA (77 nucleotides) under Hyphomicrobium sp. RNAcentral describes it as "tRNA-Pro". It matches the Rfam family "tRNA". From Rfam's summary of the family: Transfer RNA (tRNA) molecules are approximately 80 nucleotides in length. Their secondary structure includes four short double-helical elements and three loops (D, anti-codon, and T loops). RNAcentral also lists the same sequence under 2 other names. Lineage: Bacteria; Pseudomonadati; Pseudomonadota; Alphaproteobacteria; Hyphomicrobiales; Hyphomicrobiaceae. The record is from RNAcentral.